CCCGGUAGCUAAGUUCGGAAUCGAUAACCAGCGAAAGCAUCUAAGCGGGAAGCGAGCCCUGAGAUGAGUCUUCCCUGAUACUUUAAGUAUCCUAAAGGGUUGUUCGAGACUAGAACGUUGAUAGGCAGGGUGUGUAAGCGUUGUGAGGCGUUGAGCUAACCUGUACUAAUUGCCCGUGAGGCUUAACCAUACAACACCC
Molecule: ribosomal RNA, 199 nt
Filed under: Vibrio rotiferianus CAIM 577 = LMG 21460
Lineage: Bacteria; Pseudomonadati; Pseudomonadota; Gammaproteobacteria; Vibrionales; Vibrionaceae
Description: partial 23S ribosomal RNA
Rfam family: Bacterial large subunit ribosomal RNA
Source: RNAcentral